UCUAAGCACAUGCCUUAAUACGGUGAAGCCGCGAAUAGCUCAUUACAACAGCCACCGUUUACUAGAAUAUAGUUAUCCUACUUGGAUAACUGUGGCAAUUCUAGAGCUAAUACAUGCAAAAAAGCUCCGCCCGCAAGGAACGAGCGCAUUUAUUAGAAUAAAAACCAAUCGGGUUUCGGCCCGUAAUUUGGUGAAUCUGAAUAACUUUGCCAAUCGCACAGUCCUAGUACUGGCGAUGUAUCUUUCAAGUGUCUGCCUUAUCAACUUUCGAUGGUAGGUUAUACGCCUACCAUGGUAGUAACGGGUAACGGAGAAUAAGGGUUCGACUCCGGAGAGGGAGCCUGAGAAACGGCUACCACAUCCAAGGAAGGCAGCAGGCGCGCAAAUUACCCACUUCCAGAACGGAGAGGUAGUGA
This 416-nucleotide ribosomal RNA is filed under the name unidentified nematode Sourhope farm. RNAcentral describes it as "SSU rRNA". It matches the Rfam family "Eukaryotic small subunit ribosomal RNA", at positions 58 to 470 of the family's 1831-position model. The record is from RNAcentral. Lineage: Eukaryota; Metazoa; Nematoda.